AAUAUUGGUCAAUGGGCGAGAGCCUGAACCAGCCAAGUCGCGUGAAGGAUGACGGGCUUAUGGAUUGUAAAAUUCUUUUGUCGGGGAAUAAAAUGAGCCACGGUUGGUUUUUUGCAUGUACCCGUGCAAUAAGCAAUGGCUGACUCCGUGCCAACCGCCGCGGUAAAACGGAGGAUGCGAGCGUUAACCUGAUUUAUUGGGUUUAAAGGGUGCGUAGGCCAAAAUAUAAGUCAGCGGUGAAACGACGGAGCUCAACUCCGGCCCUGCCGUUGAAACUGUAUUUCUUGAGUAAAUUCGAGGUAAGCGGAAUUCGUAGUGUAGCGGUGAAAUGCAUAGAUAUUACGAGGAACUCCGAUAGCGCAGGCAGCUUACCAGACUUUAACUGACGCUGAGGCACGAAAGUGUGGGUAUCAAACAGG
RNAcentral lists this ribosomal RNA (419 nucleotides) under uncultured bacterium. Its description in RNAcentral is "partial 16S ribosomal RNA". It matches the Rfam family "Bacterial small subunit ribosomal RNA", at positions 360 to 776 of the family's 1533-position model. The record is from RNAcentral.